CUGGCUUCCACAGCAGAGGGGUGUCCCGGGCUGGCGGAAAUGAAGCUGCUGUGCACAUCUCUGGAACAUCUCGGGUUCACCUCUAGAUGCCUACAGCACAGCCAUAGGUCUGAAACGUUCUGCGCAUUUACUUUGGUGACAAAGUCUCAAGUAUGGUUAAUGCUCUGUACUGUGCUGCCUGCGUCUGACUUGGACUAGAGAAUACCGAUGCAAUGAGGCCCGAGUGGAGGAUCAUCAUCUGCUCUCGCUCCGAGCUGCAGGGGCACUGGGCUACAGUCAGCGUGGGACAGCGAGGGUGACGCUGGAGCUGCCUCCCAAGAGAUUCAGAGCCAGGGGCGAC
Long non-coding RNA from Heterocephalus glaber (naked mole-rat), 340 nucleotides. The record is from Ensembl. NCBI's taxonomy places the organism in Eukaryota, Metazoa, Chordata, Mammalia, Rodentia, Bathyergidae.